Molecule: long non-coding RNA, 2615 nt
Filed under: Homo sapiens (human)
Lineage: Eukaryota; Metazoa; Chordata; Mammalia; Primates; Hominidae
Description: HSALNT0394704
Source: RNAcentral
GUGUCCAGUUUACCAAGAUUCUACUUACAUACAUCUUUUCUCAUCUUUAUGUGCUAUGUAAAGCUAAAUAAAUCUGCUCAUUGGAAAGUGCUAAGAGUGGCAGUAAAUCCAAAAUUAAUAUAGGGCAGUGGUCUUUAUUUAUAGGUGUAAUAUUAUUCUGUCUCUAUUUGUCCACCUUCAACUCUACAUUUCUGAGGGUCAUAAGUUUUGGAACCAGAGAGAACUCUGUUAAUUUCGCGACUUUGGAGCCCGGAUAAAUUACCUAAUGUCUGUAAGUUUCAGGUUCUGCAUUUCUGAAAAUCAGGAAAGCUCCUACUUCAAAGCCUUGGUAUACUAGAUAAGACAUUAAAAGUGAAAUUAUUUAACAUAGUGCCUGAUCAGCAACGUUCCUUUCCCCUACUGGAGUUAGGAGGCCUUGCAAAAGUCAAGCAUGCCUCAUAGCUGCGUGAACUUGUGGAAAGUUAAUUCACCUCUCUGAGUCUCAGUCUCCUCAACCGUGGAAUAAGAAUAAUGACAUUUUCUUGAUACAGGUUCCUCUAAGUCACAAAUGUAAAAGACAGCAAGCUCAAUAUGCAGACCAUAUGGUCAUAUCAAUCUUUGUUUCCCUUCCUUUCUCCGUCUUCCCCUCUAGCGUCUCCUGCAGUUCCAAGCUGACACGGCAGAUGGUGUAGUUGAAUCGCCCAGGGAGCCUCAGCACAGCGGCCUCAGUCACCUCUCCACAAGGCAGCUGCCCCAAGCUGCAUUCAUUGGGACAAACCUACCUUCCUUCUAGAAUGUGAGUCAGAUGCGGCAGUGGUACUGCAGGCGGCAGCAAUGGCAGUGUCACAACACAGACUGAGAUUUGGCUUCAACACCGAACCGCUUGGGGGCUCUCAUGGAUGCAAAGUGUGUCGUUUCCUUGUGGAAGGACAGUGAAGGCAGGUGUUUGCUGCUCUCCUGCAGGCUCUUGGGCAUGCUUCAGAGGGUUUCCUCCUCCAAGAAGCUGCGUUAGCACUGGACCAACGACAAACAAGUGAAGGGCUUGGGUCAGGAUACCUGUGUUACAGCUGCAGAAUGUCAAGCACAGGGGCAGUGACUACAGCUUGCCAGGGCAGAGCCCACAGAGCAUUAUCCUAAAUAUCAUGGCCACAAAUCCAAAUUAAGUGUUGGUGACUCAGGUACCAUGCGCUGCAUUGAAUGACUCAGUAAAAUUCCAACCAAAUGAUAAUGCAAACAUGAAAUCAGCAAGCAAGCAUAAUUUCUGGAAAUGAUAGAGUCCCACCGAGACUUGGCAAACAGGCCGUCCAUUUUCCCCUUGUUGCACAGUGUCACAAUGCCUCUUCUACAGAUGUGGCCCCCUGAGCUGUGAACUCCUUGAAGACAAGGACUAGAACAGUGCCUGGCACAGUCCAUGUUGUAUACAGGAGGAAGAGGAUGUGGCUGAGUGUGGCACUGGGGCACGUGAAUGCCCACAUGCAGAGGGGAUGCUUGACAAUUAAACCACCCAUAAAGCAAGGCAUUAUAAAUGGCUGUGAGUGUGGCCAGCAUUGACUUUGGGCAACAGAGCUCUGGAUUUGCUAAGCCUCACGGGUCCUCUAAGGCUGUGCUCUCCUAGCCGAAUCCGCACAUCAGCCCUCUCCGGAGACCUGCUGGAUGGUCCUCACCGCCGUGUCAUUUGAAAGCGCUCUUGGCCUUUGUUUCCUCCUAGAACAUACAUUGUCCUGCAAAGAGCAUGUGCUUCAGAUGUUAUCUUAUUUCAUCCUUCCAUGUGGGUUUUACCGUCCCCUUGAACAAGGAGAAAACUAAGGCUGAGAACAUUGAAGUAGCACGAUCAUGGCAGAGCAUCUUCAAGGUCAGCUGGAAGAAGAAGAAUCUGGUUACCAGGUGUAAACCCCAGAGUUGGAAGCACAAUUUGAGAAUGCAGGUAAGCGACGCUGAAUGGAAUGGCAAGGGAACCCAGUGGUUUCUGUGUGAUCUGUGAUUCACCCACGUAUGAAUCCAGUUACUGAAAUUGACCUUUUGUCCACAGUGCUCUCUUCCGGAUUCCAGUGGCCAUGCUCCUGACUCCUCGAUUUUUAUCUCUUGCACCUUUUUUCACCUUCCUGCCCUUGACAACUGUUCAGUUCUUCUUUUCAAGCUUGCUGAACUGCAUUCUACUUAAUUUGGACCUAAUUCAGCUUUGUUCAUUUUUGUUUGAGUUUUCAACAAGAUAUUGACUAGGUCUAUUAGCCUGGUGUUUUCUCAAAACAAUGUAUGUGCAUUUUAAAGUUUUUAGUAUCCAGACCAUUACUGAAGUGCUACAAAAUUAAGACACCAUUAGCAACCACCCACUAACCCCACAAUAGCUCUUGGAGAACUACCAUUUGGUGUGUUUUUUGCCCUUGCUCUUUAUAGUCUUGUUUUGAAAAUUAUGGUACAAUACACAUAACACAAAAUUUACCAUUAGUGACACUUAGUACAUUGGCAGUGUUGUGCAACCAUCACCACUAUCUAGUUUGGGGUUUUCAUCACCUCUAAAGGAAACCCUGUACCCAUUAGUCAGUCUCUCCAUUCUCUCCUCCCCGCUGCCUUUGGCAACCACCAUCUGCAUUCUGUCUCUAUGGAUUUGCCUAUUUUGAAUAUUGCAUAUACACGGA